This 680-nucleotide ribosomal RNA is filed under the name uncultured Streptococcus sp. RNAcentral describes it as "bacterial SSU rRNA". It matches the Rfam family "Bacterial small subunit ribosomal RNA", at positions 28 to 683 of the family's 1533-position model. The record is from RNAcentral. Lineage: Bacteria; Bacillati; Bacillota; Bacilli; Lactobacillales; Streptococcaceae.
GACGAACGCUGGCGGCGUGCCUAAUACAUGCAAGUAGAACGCACAGUUUAUACCGUAGCUUGCUACACCAUAGACUGUGAGUUGCGAACGGGUGAGUAACGCGUAGGUAACCUGCCUGGUAGCGGGGGAUAACUAUUGGAAACGAUAGCUAAUACCGCAUAAUAUUAAUUAUUGCAUGAUAAUUGAUUGAAAGGUGCAAAUGCAUCACUACCAGAUGGACCUGCGUUGUAUUAGCUAGUAGGUGAGGUAACGGCUCACCUAGGCGACGAUACAUAGCCGACCUGAGAGGGUGAUCGGCCACACUGGGACUGAGACACGGCCCAGACUCCUACGGGAGGCAGCAGUAGGGAAUCUUCGGCAAUGGACGAAAGUCUGACCGAGCAACGCCGCGUGAGUGAAGAAGGUUUUCGGAUCGUAAAGCUCUGUUGUAAGAGAAGAACGGGUGUGAGAGUGGAAAGUUCACACUGUGACGGUAUCUUACCAGAAAGGGACGGCUAACUACGUGCCAGCAGCCGCGGUAAUACGUAGGUCCCGAGCGUUGUCCGGAUUUAUUGGGCGUAAAGCGAGCGCAUGCGGUUAGAUAAAUUCUGAAGUUAAAGGCUGUGGCUUAACCAUAGUACGCUUUUGAAACUGUUUAACUUGAGUGCACAAGCCAUAUUGGAAUCCCAUGUGCACUGGUC